RNAcentral lists this ribosomal RNA (754 nucleotides) under uncultured Acinetobacter sp. RNAcentral describes it as "bacterial SSU rRNA". It matches the Rfam family "Bacterial small subunit ribosomal RNA", at positions 28 to 776 of the family's 1533-position model. The record is from RNAcentral. Lineage: Bacteria; Pseudomonadati; Pseudomonadota; Gammaproteobacteria; Moraxellales; Moraxellaceae.
AUUGAACGCUGGCGGCAGGCUUAACACAUGCAAGUCGAGCGGGGAAGGGUAGCUUGCUACCUGACCUAGCGGCGGACGGGUGAGUAAUGCUUAGGAAUCUGCCUAUUAGUGGGGGACAACAUUCCGAAAGGAAUGCUAAUACCGCAUACGCCCUACGGGGGAAAGCAGGGGAUCUUCGGACCUUGCGCUAGUAGAUGAGCCUAAGUCAGAUUAGCUAGUUGGUGGGGUAAAGGCCUACCAAGGCGACGAUCUGUAGCGGGUCUGAGAGAAUGAUCCGCCACACUGGGACUGAGACACGGCCCAGACUCCUACGGGAGGCAGCAGUGGGGAAUAUUGGACAAUGGGCGCAAGCCUGAUCCAGCCAUGCCGCGUGUGUGAAGAAGGCCUUUUGGUUGCAAAGCACUUUAAGCGAGGAGGAGGCUACUUGGAUUAAUACUCUAGGAUAGUGGACGUUACUCGCAGAAUAAGCACCGGCUAACUCUGUGCCAGCAGCCGCGGUAAUACAGAGGGUGCGAGCGUUAAUCGGAUUUACUGGGCGUAAAGCGUGCGUAGGCGGCUUUUUAAGUCGGAUGUGAAAUCCCUGAGCUUAACUUAGGAACUGCAUUCGAUACUGGGAAGCUAGAGUAUGGGAGAGGAUGGUAGAAUUCCAGGUGUAGCGGUGAAAUGCGUAGAGAUCUGGAGGAAUACCGAUGGCGAAGGCAGCCAUCUGGCCUAAUACUGACGCUGAGGUACGAAAGCAUGGGGAGCAAACAGG